RNAcentral lists this long non-coding RNA (1295 nucleotides) under Heterocephalus glaber (naked mole-rat). Its description in RNAcentral is "lncRNA (ENSHGLG00000025867.2)". The record is from RNAcentral. Lineage: Eukaryota; Metazoa; Chordata; Mammalia; Rodentia; Bathyergidae.
GGCAAAGACGUGGGGAUACGCACGUGAGGAAGCAGCGGGAUCCUCCGGGCAGACGAGUCAAUGAAGCGGCUCCCAGUCCCGCGCGCGGCUGAGCGGCUGAGCGGCACGGCCGUUCCGGGAAACGGGCCCUUCACGUCCUCUGUGGAGGCCACCGAGAGCCCUCGCACCCCCAGAGGGUGUGCCGCGGGACACCCGCGCGGUACCAGGUGCACCCUUGGAGGCCAGGCUGUCGCUGGUGGAAACGUCCUCGCCGCGCACCGCGGGGCUGCAGUUGAAGGCGGGGGUUGGGUAGGGAGGGGAAACCCGGAGGCACCCGGAGGCCGGUCGGGAUCUGUGGUGGGAGCCUGUGCAGGCGAGGAGGCACCGGGAGGAGGAAGGGACUGUUCGAGGCGAGGCGGGAGAGGAGAGGGGCAGGGCUUGGCUGGGCUGGGUGCUGCCUCUCCUGAAACGCAGAAAGACGAAUGGGAACAGAGUCAGGAAUUUUCAGAAGAAAACAGGAAGAAGUCGUUCGAGCUUGGGUUUCCCCCCAGCGGACCUGAGGCGAGCAUUUGGGUACAACGGGAGUACGGGGCUCGUGCCUGAGCAGGUGUCCAGAGGGCCACAGGGGCUCAGUCUCGCUGAGGACACUCGAGACCGCGUGGAAUCCGCCGCAGCACUGUCCCCAAGAGGCGAGAAGGUGGGGUGCGCACCCAGCCCGCCCACCGCACCCACAGCCCCGGAAAGCUCCACUGCCCAUACCUCAAUGAAAGCUUCUUAACUCGGGUGAUUCACACCAGCUCCUCGGGGAUUCACAGAAGCAAGAGCCCAGAGAAUGUUGACAGAUGAAAGAGCCCCUGGCCGAAAGCCUGGAGCCAAAGCCUGAGAGGCCCUCUCUCUCUUUCACUCACUGACACAACAAUGUGUGUUUGUUUUGUUUUGUUUUUUCUUUUUUCUUUUUGGUACCGGGGAUCUAACUCGGGUCCUUGCACUUGCGCAGCAGGCGGCGAAACCACUGAGCUAAAUCCCCGGCCCAAUAUCCACCUGGGUUAUCAGGCUCCUGAGUCCAGUAUAAAUUUACUCCUAAUGAUUUCAAACCCAUCAGUAAAAUAUGAAGAUGCUGUGGAACCUGUGUGUACCACGAUGAGGGGCUUGGCAGCCUGUGGGAGCUGUAUGGGGUGCAGGGCAGUGCAUGAAGCUGGAGCCCAAGAGGCAGUGAUGCCGGGAAUGCAGGACCCUGGGUACAUGAGUUGGGCUUAGGGUUUCAGUCUGUACCUGUAAAAUGAGAAAAUGAAUUAAAUGUCUCAAAUAUCUACACA